AUGUGUCCGCCGGAACCCAGCUGCCACUCGGCGCUGCUCGUCGACCUCGUCGUCAACGAAAUCCUCAUCCGCUGCCCGCCGGACGAGCCGGAGCGCCUCGCCCGCGCCUCCCUCGUGUGCAAGGAGUGGCACCGCGUCCUGGACGACCCCGACUUCCGCCGCCGCUACGGCGAGUUCCACCGGAGGGCGCCCCUGCUGGGAUUGCUCCACGACUACGGCGUCCUCUCUGAUCACCCCAUCAUCCAGUCCAGAUUUGUGCCCACCACGGCCUUCUCCACGCGGACGCCCCUGCACCGCAGGUUCCUGCUCGACUCACGCCACGGUCGCGCCCUCUAUGGAACCUACGUCCCGCCGCGAGCCUGCUUGGGCCAAGGUGGACGACAAGGACCCCAUCACCGACGCCGGCCGAGUGGAGGGUUCCGUUUCCCACCAGCACCAAGAGCUUGCUCUCUGGCGGCUGGAAUGCAGCAGUGCUCUGCGCCGCAGACGGCUGCGACCACGCCGUUGGUUGCCGGAGCAGCCCCUUCCUCAUUGCCGUCAUAG
Molecule: ribosomal RNA, 543 nt
Filed under: Triticum aestivum (bread wheat)
Lineage: Eukaryota; Viridiplantae; Streptophyta; Magnoliopsida; Poales; Poaceae
Description: partial small subunit ribosomal RNA
Source: RNAcentral